GGCUCUGGUGGCCUAGUGGUUAGAGCGUCUGCCUCGGAUGCAGGAGGUCAUGGGUUCAAUCUCAAGUUGAGUCA
This is a non-coding RNA of Potamilus streckersoni, 74 nucleotides long. The record is from the annotation of a GenBank genome assembly. Lineage: Eukaryota; Metazoa; Mollusca; Bivalvia; Unionida; Unionidae.